This 447-nucleotide ribosomal RNA is filed under the name uncultured bacterium. RNAcentral describes it as "bacterial SSU rRNA". It matches the Rfam family "Bacterial small subunit ribosomal RNA", at positions 329 to 793 of the family's 1533-position model. The record is from RNAcentral.
GUCCAGACUCCUACGGGAGGCAGCAGUGGGGAAUAUUGCACAAUGGGGGGAAACCUGAUGCAGCGACGCCGCGUGAGUGAAGAAGUAUUUCGGUAUGUAAAGCUCUAUCAGCAGGGAAGAUAAUGACGGUACCUGACUAAGAAGCCCCGGCUAACUACGUGCCAGCAGCCGCGGUAAUACGUAGGGGGCAAGCGUUAUCCGGAUUUACUGGGUGUAAAGGGUGCGUAGGUGGCAGGGCAAGUCAGAUGUGAAAGCCCGGGGCCCAACCCCGGUACUGCAUUUGAAACUGUCCGGCUGGAGUGCAGGAGAGGUAAGCGGAAUUCCUAGUGUAGCGGUGAAAUGCGUAGAUAUUAGGAGGAACACCAGUGGCGAAGGCGGCUUACUGGACUGUAACUGACACUGAGGCACGAAAGCGUGGGGAGCAAACAGGAUUAGAUACCCUCGUAU